CCUACGGGAGGCAGCAGUAGGGAAUCUUCCACAAUGGGCGAAAGCCUGAUGGAGCAACGCCGCGUGGGUGAAGAAGGUCUUCGGAUCGUAAAACCCUAUUGUUAGAGAAGAAAGUGCGUGAGAGUAACUGUUAACGUUUCGACGGUAUCUAACCAGAAAGCCACGGCGAACUACGGGCCAGCAGCCGCGGUAAUACGUAGGGGGCAAGCGUUAUCCGUAUUUAGUGGGCGUAAAGGGAACGAAGGCGGUCUUUUAAGUCUGAUGUGAAAGCCUUCGGCUUAACCGGAGUAGUGCAUUGGAAACUGUGAGACUUGAGUGCAGAAGAGGAGAGUGGAACUCCAUGUGUAGCGGUGAAAUGCGUAGAUAUUUGGAAGAACACCAGUGGCGAAAGCGGCUCUCUGGUCUGUAACUGACGCUGAGGUUCGAAAGCGUGGGUAGCAAACAGGAUUAGAUACCCCUGUAGUC
RNAcentral lists this ribosomal RNA (465 nucleotides) under uncultured bacterium. RNAcentral's name for it is "partial 16S ribosomal RNA". It matches the Rfam family "Bacterial small subunit ribosomal RNA", at positions 338 to 795 of the family's 1533-position model. The record is from RNAcentral.